GUCCAGACUCCUACGGGAGGCAGCAGUGGGGGAUAUUGCACAAUGGGGGAAACCCUGAUGCAGCGACGCCGCGUGGGUGAAGAAGCGCCUCGGCGCGUAAAGCCCUGUCAGCAGGGAAGAAAAUGACGGUACCUGAAGAAGAAGCCCCGGCUAACUACGUGCCAGCAGCCGCGGUAAUACGUAGGGGGCAAGCGUUAUCCGGAUUUACUGGGUGUAAAGGGGGCGCAGACGGCGAUGCAAGCCAGGAGUGAAAGCCCGGGGCCCAACCCCGGGACUGCAUUGGGAACUACCGGGCUGGAGUGCCGGAGAGGUAGGCGGAAUUCCUAGUGUAGCGGUGAAAUGCGUAGAUAUUAGGAGGAACACCAGUGGCGAAGGCGGCCUACUGGACGGUGACUGGCGCUGAGGCUCGAAAGCGUGGGGAGCAAACAGGAUUAGAUACCCCAGUA
Molecule: ribosomal RNA, 446 nt
Filed under: uncultured bacterium
Lineage: Bacteria
Description: bacterial SSU rRNA
Rfam family: Bacterial small subunit ribosomal RNA
Source: RNAcentral